GCAGAAGAAAUAUAACCGCGCCGCCAAUCAAUAAUGACAUUCUUUGGCGGUGAGGAAAAGUCCGGGCUCCGCCGGAAAAAAUGCCGGGUAAUUACCGGGAGAAGAAGGGCAGUUGUAAAUUUUCGCCUUGCGAUUUUUUGCAUAACCCCUUGUUCUACAGACAGCGCAACAGAAAACAAACCGCAAUUUUUGCGCAAGCAAGAGUUGUAAGGGUGAAAAGGCGGCGUAAGAGACCACCGGGCGUUUGGCAACAGACGCCGCAUUGCAAGCCUCAUUUGGAGCAAGGUCAAGAAGCGGCUGUUUUUCCGGGACACAAGCCGCGGGUAGACCGCUAAAAUUUUUAGGCGACUAAAAAUUCGGAUAGAUGGUUAUGGCUUUGUCCUUCUUGGGCAAAGUUGCCAGAACCCGGCUUACAAUUUCUUCUGCUUUU
RNAcentral lists this RNase P RNA (430 nucleotides) under Treponema sp. RNAcentral describes it as "RNase P RNA component class A". It matches the Rfam family "Bacterial RNase P class A". Rfam says of the family: Ribonuclease P (RNase P) is a ubiquitous endoribonuclease, found in archaea, bacteria and eukarya as well as chloroplasts and mitochondria. Its best characterised activity is the generation of mature 5'-ends of tRNAs by cleaving the 5'-leader elements of precursor-tRNAs. Lineage: Bacteria; Pseudomonadati; Spirochaetota; Spirochaetia; Treponematales; Treponemataceae. The record is from RNAcentral.